CUUAUAUGUGCAGUGCGUUACAAGUAGUUUCAAUACAAAAUUAAUAUUAAAAAUUAUAUAAUUAAUAUUCAAACAAUGACUACAGUAGAUAAAAUAGCAAAACAGUAUAAUGCUUACGACUAUCAGAAGAACAUGUCAAUGCAGUAGGUUGAUGCAGUUCUACACGAUAAAAAACGUAGCGUCGUCCGUACUACUUUAUCUACAAACAAAUAUUAGGAGAUAAUAGUGUAGUGAAUCAUCAUUAUUGAUAAAAAUUACUAUAGUAAAGACGUUUCAAGAGAAAGGUUUGUAAAUAACAUGUUUACCUGCAUACGUUUCUUUGUCAAAGAGAAAUAUAAAUCUAAAUUGCUGCUUUUAGCAUUUAACAAGCAUAGAUGUCCGCAAUUCAUUUUCAAGUACAAGAAUUACACUCCUUGUCACAUCCUUUUGCCAACCUUAGGAAAAAGUCUCGAAAGAACAAAAGUUUUAUAUCUUGGUGAAAAAUUAUCGUAGCUCUAAAAUUCCAACGCGAUUGCCUUCUGUGAGCUCAUAGCUUUCGAAAAAAAAACUAUUGCGGACAAAAAAAACUAGAAAAUAUGUUUUAUUAACAAUAAAAUAAUAAUAAAAAAAUCAAAAUGCUUAACCCUCAUGUAAUUCUGUAUAAUUCUUGAAUUUCAAAAAUGUCAACAACAUUCAAAAACUUAUGCUUUGAACUUGAAAAUACGUGGUUAAACAAGUUUACGUUAA
This is a long non-coding RNA of Phymastichus coffea, 726 nucleotides long. RefSeq lists it as uncharacterized. The record is from RefSeq and is a predicted model, not a curated record. NCBI's taxonomy places the organism in Eukaryota, Metazoa, Arthropoda, Insecta, Hymenoptera, Eulophidae. The transcript has 3 exons.